Molecule: long non-coding RNA, 1485 nt
Organism: Tupaia belangeri chinensis (Chinese tree shrew)
Lineage: Eukaryota; Metazoa; Chordata; Mammalia; Scandentia; Tupaiidae
Exons: 2
Source: RefSeq, a predicted model, not a curated record
CCCAGGUCAUGGCUCCCUUACGGGAGGUGGCCGGAGCUGAGGGAGUCGUUCGAGUCCAUGUUCCUUUUUCCCUUGUGGAUCUGUCCGCCAUUAAAAAGUGCUGAGGCUCCUUCUCUGCCAACCCCACCCAAUUUAUCAAGGAAUUCAGAUAUCUUACACAGGCCUAUGACCUCACCUGACAUGACACCCACCAUGACAGCAGAUGAGCGUGACCGAAUACAGGUGGCAGGAAGAGAGUAUGCUGACAGGGCCCACAUGGCAGACUCCACCACAGCGGUAGGUGCUGAGACAGUCCCCGCAGUUGAUCCUGGCUGGAGAUAUCAGGAAGGUGACCCUGGCUGCCGGCAACAUGACUACAUGUUGCAAUGCCUUAUGGCAGGAAUGGAACAAGCAGCCCAAAAGGUAGUAAAUUAUGACAAAUUGCAAAAAGUCACCCAGGGUCGAGAAAAAAAUGCAGUCAUGUUUUUGAGCUGCCUCACUGAGGCUAUGCAGCACCAUACUCAACUCUCCCAGAGGACCCUGCUGGGGCGGUAGUUCUGGCCACCCACUUUAUCACCCAGUCAGUCCCUGAUAUCAGGGGGGAAAAAAAAACCUCAAAAAGGCUGAACAGGGCCCUCAGACCACCACAUGAGACCUGGUGAAUAUGGCAAUUAUAGUUUUCAACUCCUGAGGAGGAUGCUGAGGUAGCCCGACACAAACAAGCCAAACAGAUGGCUGCCAUGCAAGCCCAAGGCCUGGUAGCUGCCCUGUGGCCGGCACCUCAGAAGGGGGUCCCUAGGUGCAGUCUUCAAAUGCAGCAAGCCAGGCCUCUGGGCCCAUGAAGGCCUGGAUCCCGGGCCGCCCACUAAACCCUGCCUAGGGUGUGGCAAAAUGGGUCACUGGGGCUCUGACUGCCCCAAAAGAGGGAGACGAGAUCCACUCCUGACGCCUCCACGCCGAGAGGAGAUCCACCACUCUGAUUUCAACCUGGCCAUGGUGGGAUCUGCUGAAGAUUGAUGGGCCCUGGAUUCAACCACCCCAUUACCCUCGCUGAGCCCAGAGUCCAGCUUCAGGUUGGCGGGGAACGCGCCUCCACCAUCGGUCCAGUGGCAGUUAGUCAGAUGCUCCUGCACCCCCUGCGCACCAGAGGGCCCCAGAUGGAAGCAGCAGAGCGGUCUCAGGGCUCAGCCCUUGUCCUUUUAAGGCCGGAGCCGGGGAGGAGGGAAGAGAAACAUGGCGGAAACUUUCCUGCCGCCUUCCGCACCUGGUGUGGCCAGCCCUGGACUCUCCUGCCUUCUGCCUUUGGCGCGCCCAUCAGCAGCUGAACAGAAACAUCGUCUCCCCUUGGCCAGGACAGGACGCCAUCAUGCUGUGGCCACCGCUCAUUGGACAAGGGCCUCAAUAAGAGAACAAGAUCAGCCCUUUGGGUGUGACUCCCUGGCCUCUGUCCAGACCGCCGGACCUCACCCGAGAGCUUUUUGCCGAAUAAAUUUUGGCUUUGCUAAA